UCUCUGUGCUCACAUCCCAUUCAUCCUAAAUUUCAUUUCCCUCAUAGCAAAAGUACUCCAAAUUUUCAUUUCCCUCCUCUUACGAAGAUUCAUUUCCCCCCAGUUUCCAUUAUUCUCUCAAUCCCCUCUAAUCCUAAAUCUUCAUUAUUCUCUCAAUCCCUUCUAAUCCUAAAUCAUAUAAUUCAAAUGAGAAACCCUAUCUUCCUUUUACAUAUUCAACCACCAACAGUACUCCGAAUCUAUUUUCGUUAAACCGGAACCCUAAUACCUAAUAACUGGGAAAGACAGUGGUUAUGUCAAUAAAGGUCGAACGUGAAGGUGGGUGUGCAGGGGAGGUGGCUGUUUAUGGUGGGUAAUAGAUGCGGGAAAGAUGGAGGAAACACCAGAGAUUUGAUUUGAGGAGGCGAUUUCGAUUGUUCAGUGUGACAUUGUGCGUAUGAAACUAGGGUUGGCAGGGCCGGGGGGUGGUCAACAAGGUUUCAGCCUUGAUCUUUUCAAACCUUUAUCAUCAACAGUCCAAUACUUUCUUGAGAAGCGAUCCCCAAGGCUUUCUUGGCUUUCUUCUGACAUAAAGAAACUGGUAGUUAUUUGAUAUCCGGUGGUUUUUGACUAAUGAUCUAUUUACAGGCGGUAACUGCUGCUGGAGCUUUUCUACAUGGGCUGGAGGAUGAAUACUAUAAGGGGCGGAGACAGCAUAGAACCAGCCGUAGCACGGGCUACGGCUCAAACUCGUGUUCGUAGUGUUAAUUCAUGACUAUUUGAGCGUCAUUCCCUGCGAUCUCAAGUCUGAACAGGUCAGAAACAUCGUCCCGAUUCGUCCCUGAAGCCACUCGAACCUGCGUUUCAUUGAUGCUAGUGAAAUCGUUGAUCAGAUUCGUCCAUGCGUUUUGUUGUUUGUGACAUGGCUACAAUAUAUAUAAAUACAACUGGAGGUGAUGGUUUCAUUGAUGGGCUAAGAGACAUCAGAACUGGCCACCAGUUACAAGUUUACUCACUACCACAACAAGGUAGCCACUAGCCCAUGGAUGCAAAUUUGCAGCACUUUCAAGUCAUUGCAUUGAGUAGAUACGAACUUGAAGAAAACAACCUUGAAAUAGCUCUUAGUUUUUGUGUACAUUUGUUUCCCUUUGCAGCUUUUGUAGAUAGGUGUUGCUUAUAAGUUUAUGUCUUUCGUUAGUAUUCAAAUUGAAAACUUAUGUAUGGAUUUAUGGUUAUUAAUGCUAACAUCAUUUGUAUUAUAAA
Molecule: long non-coding RNA, 1242 nt
Organism: Helianthus annuus (common sunflower)
Lineage: Eukaryota; Viridiplantae; Streptophyta; Magnoliopsida; Asterales; Asteraceae
Exons: 6
Source: RefSeq, a predicted model, not a curated record